Molecule: ribosomal RNA, 670 nt
Filed under: Agrobacterium sp.
Lineage: Bacteria; Pseudomonadati; Pseudomonadota; Alphaproteobacteria; Hyphomicrobiales; Rhizobiaceae
Description: partial 16S rRNA
Source: RNAcentral
GCGUCAGUAAUGGACCAGUAAGCCGCCUUCGCCACUGGUGUUCCUCCGAAUAUCUACGAAUUUCACCUCUACACUCGGAAUUCCACUUACCUCUUCCAUACUCAAGAUACCCAGUAUCAAAGGCAGUUCCAGAGUUGAGCUCUGGGAUUUCACCCCUGACUUAAAUAUCCGCCUACGUGCGCUUUACGCCCAGUAAUUCCGAACAACGCUAGCCCCCUUCGUAUUACCGCGGCUGCUGGCACGAAGUUAGCCGGGGCUUCUUCUCCGGAUACCGUCAUUAUCUUCUCCGGUGAAAGAGCUUUACAACCCUAAGGCCUUCAUCACUCACGCGGCAUGGCUGGAUCAGGCUUGCGCCCAUUGUCCAAUAUUCCCCACUGCUGCCUCCCGUAGGAGUUUGGGCCGUGUCUCAGUCCCAAUGUGGCUGAUCAUCCUCUCAGACCAGCUAUGGAUCGUCGCCUUGGUAGGCCUUUACCCCACCAACUAGCUAAUCCAACGCGGGCUCAUCAUACCCCGAUAAAUCUUUCCCCCGUAGGGCGUAUGCGGUAUUAAUUCCAGUUUCCCGGAGCUAUUCCGCAGGGCACGGUAGAUUCCCACGCGUUACUCACCCGUCUGCCACUCCCCUUGCGGGGCGUUCGACUUGCAUGUGUUAAGCCUGCCGCCAGCGUUCGUU